RNAcentral lists this ribosomal RNA (528 nucleotides) under Sula dactylatra (masked booby). RNAcentral's name for it is "partial 12S ribosomal RNA". It matches the Rfam family "Bacterial small subunit ribosomal RNA", at positions 781 to 1526 of the family's 1533-position model. Lineage: Eukaryota; Metazoa; Chordata; Aves; Suliformes; Sulidae. The record is from RNAcentral.
GAUACCCCACUAUGCCUAGCCCUAAAUCUUGACACUUACACUACUAAAGUGUCCGCCCGAGAACUACGAGCACAAACGCUUAAAACUCUAAGGACUUGGCGGUGUCCCAAACCCACCUAGAGGAGCCUGUUCUAUAAUCGAUAACCCACGAUACACCCAACCGCCCCUUGCCAAAGCAGCCUACAUACCGCCGUCGUCAGCCCACCUCCCUUGAAAGAAUAACAGUGGGCACAAUAGUCCCUUCUCCCACUAACAAGACAGGUCAAGGUAUAGCUUAUGGGGCGGAAGAAAUGGGCUACAUUUUCUAAGUUAGAAAACCUAACGGAAAGGGGCGCGCAACCCCCCCUAGAAGGCGGAUUUAGCAGUAAAGUGAGACCAUAAAGCCCUCUUUAAACUGGCCCUGGGACACGUACAUACCGCCCGUCACCCUCACCGCAAGCUAUGAGCUCCAUAACUAAUACCCCUUCCAAGCUAAAGAUGAGGUAAGUCGUAACAAGGUAAGUGUACCGGAAGGUGCACUUAGCACAC